RNAcentral lists this transfer RNA (121 nucleotides) under Pseudomonadota bacterium. RNAcentral's name for it is "Proteobacteria bacterium (activated sludge metagenome) tRNA-OTHER". It matches the Rfam family "tRNA". Rfam says of the family: Transfer RNA (tRNA) molecules are approximately 80 nucleotides in length. The record is from RNAcentral. Lineage: Bacteria; Pseudomonadati; Pseudomonadota.
UGUGUGGUAGCAAAGUGGUCAAAUGCGUGUGAUUAUUUAAAUUCAUAUUGAUAAAUAUGAUACGGCAUUUAUUUUGGUUCACAUUCCCUCGGGUGCGUAGGUUCGAAUCCUUCCCACACAA